UACGAAGGGGGCUAGCGUUGCUCGGAAUCACUGGGCGUAAAGCGCACGUAGGCGGAUCUUUAAGUCAGGGGUGAAAUCCUGGAGCUCAACUCCAGAACUGCCUUUGAUACUGGGGAUCUCGAGUCCGGAAGAGGUGAGUGGAACUCCGAGUGUAGAGGUGAAAUUCGUAGAUAUUCGGAGGAACACCAGUGGCGAAGGCGGCUCACUGGCUCGGUACUGACGCUGAGGUGCGAAAGCGUGGGGAGCAAACAGG
RNAcentral lists this ribosomal RNA (253 nucleotides) under uncultured bacterium. Its description in RNAcentral is "partial 16S ribosomal RNA". It matches the Rfam family "Bacterial small subunit ribosomal RNA", at positions 524 to 776 of the family's 1533-position model. The record is from RNAcentral.